RNAcentral lists this ribosomal RNA (676 nucleotides) under Lycodon davisonii. Its description in RNAcentral is "partial 16S ribosomal RNA". It matches the Rfam family "Bacterial large subunit ribosomal RNA", at positions 1912 to 2669 of the family's 2925-position model. Lineage: Eukaryota; Metazoa; Chordata; Lepidosauria; Squamata; Colubridae. The record is from RNAcentral.
GUGAAUAAUUAAACGGCCGCGGUAUCCUAACCGUGCAAAGGUAGCAUAAUCACUUGUCUACUAAUUAUAGACCAGCAUGAAUGGCAAAAUGAGGGCCUAACUGUCUCUUAUAAUCAAUCAAUUAAACUGAUCUACUAGUAAAAAAGCUAGAAUACCAACAUAAGACCAGAAGACCCUGUGAAGCUUAAACUAAACUAUUAAACCACAUAAUAACCAAUUUCGGUUGGGGCGACCUUGGAAAUAAGAAAAACUUCCAAACACCAUGACAUACAUCAUGAACUCAGGCCCACAAGCCAACACAAGACCCAGUUAAAACUGACAAAUGAACCAAGUUACUCCAGGGAUAACAGCGCAAUCUUCUUCAAGAGCCCAUAUCAAAAAGAAGGUUUACGACCUCGAUGUUGGAUCAGGACAUCCUAUUGGUGCAGCCGCUAUUAAGGGUUCGUUUGUUCAACGAUUAACAGUCCUACGUGAUCUGAGUUAAAACCGGAUUAAAUCCCUGAAUAAACCAACCUUAAUAGCGGCUGCACCAAUAGGAUGUCCUGAUCCAACAUCGAGGUCGUAAACCUUCUUUUUGAUAUGGGCUCUUGAAGAAGAUGCGCUGUUAUCCUGGAGUAACUUGGUUCAUUUGUCAGUUUUAACUGGGUCUKGUGUUGGCUGUGGGCUGAGUUCAUGA